RNAcentral lists this long non-coding RNA (215 nucleotides) under Elaeis guineensis (African oil palm). RNAcentral describes it as "long non-coding RNA (EGUI_LNC063447)". The record is from RNAcentral. Lineage: Eukaryota; Viridiplantae; Streptophyta; Magnoliopsida; Arecales; Arecaceae.
GGGAUGGUCAGUAAUAAUGAGAAGGCAAAAGAUAUCCAUAUGGAUAUUAGCUGUUUAUUUUGUGAUAAGUUUGGACAUUGGGAGUAUAAUUGCAAGAAUAAUCUUAUAAGUUUGAAACAAGGUGCAAGUAUAGCACCAAAAGGUGUGUAUAUGAUACAAAUCUAUUUUUCAUUGAGUGGCUCAGACUCUGAUACUUGGGUAUUAGAUACUGCCUG